CGGGGUGCACCAGGCGCGAAAACUUUACAAUGCUGGCAACAGCGAUAAGGGGACCUCGAGUGCCAGGAUACAAUCUUGGCUGUCGCGAUGCCUAAAAAGCAUUGCAUAGCAAGGGCCGGGCAAGACCGGUGCCAGCCGCCGCGGUAACACCGGCGGCUCGAGUGGUAACCGCUAUUAUUGGGUCUAAAGGGUCUGUAGCCGGUCGGAUAAGUCUUUUGGGAAAUCCAGCUGCUCAACAGUUGGGCUUUCAGAAGAUACUGUUCGGCUCGAGACCGGGAGAGGUGAGAGGUACUUCAGGGGUAGGGGUGAAAUCUUGUAAUCCUUGAAGGACCACCAGCGGCGAAGGCGUCUCACCAGAACGGAUCUGACGGCAAGGGACGAAAGCUAGGGGCACGAACCGGAUUAGAUACCCGGGUAGUCCUAGCCGUAAACGAUACUCGCUAGGUGUCAGCCACGGUGCGACCGUGGUUGGUGCCGUAGGGAAGCCGUGAAGCGAGCCACCUGGGAAGUACGGCCGCAAGGCUGAAACUUAAAGGAAUUGGCGGGGGAGCACAAGGGCGAAUUG
Molecule: ribosomal RNA, 565 nt
Filed under: uncultured archaeon
Lineage: Archaea
Description: bacterial SSU rRNA
Rfam family: Archaeal small subunit ribosomal RNA
Source: RNAcentral